AAAUUGAAGAGUUUGAUCAUGGCUCAGAUUGAACGCUGGCGGCAGGCCUAACACAUGCAAGUCGAGCGGAAACGAGUUAUCUGAACCUUCGGGGGACGAUAACGGCGUCGAGCGGCGGACGGGUGAGUAAUGCCUAGGAAAUUGCCCUGAUGUGGGGGAUAACCAUUGGAAACGAUGGCUAAUACCGCAUGAUGCCUACGGGCCAAAGAGGGGGACCUUCGGGCCUCUCGCGUCAGGAUAUGCCUAGGUGGGAUUAGCUAGUUGGUGAGGUAAGGGCUCACCAAGGCGACGAUCCCUAGCUGGUCUGAGAGGAUGAUCAGCCACACUGGAACUGAGACACGGUCCAGACUCCUACGGGAGGCAGCAGUGGGGAAUAUUGCACAAUGGGCGCAAGCCUGAUGCAGCCAUGCCGCGUGUGUGAAGAAGGCCUUCGGGUUGUAAAGCACUUUCAGUCGUGAGGAAGGUGGUGUAGUUAAUAGCUGCAUUAUUUGACGUUAGCGACAGAAGAAGCACCGGCUAACUCCGUGCCAGCAGCCGCGGUAAUACGGAGGGUGCGAGCGUUAAUCGGAAUUACUGGGCGUAAAGCGCAUGCAGGUGGUUUGUUAAGUCAGAUGUGAAAGCCCGGGGCUCAACCUCGGAAUAGCAUUUGAAACUGGCAGACUAGAGUACUGUAGAGGGGGGUAGAAUUUCAGGUGUAGCGGUGAAAUGCGUAGAGAUCUGAAGGAAUACCGGUGGCGAAGGCGGCCCCCUGGACAGAUACUGACACUCAGAUGCGAAAGCGUGGGGAGCAAACAGGAUUAGAUACCCUGGUAGUCCACGCCGUAAACGAUGUCUACUUGGAGGUUGUGGCCUUGAGCCGUGGCUUUCGGAGCUAACGCGUUAAGUAGACCGCCUGGGGAGUACGGUCGCAAGAUUAAAACUCAAAUGAAUUGACGGGGGCCCGCACAAGCGGUGGAGCAUGUGGUUUAAUUCGAUGCAACGCGAAGAACCUUACCUACUCUUGACAUCCAGAGAACUUUCCAGAGAUGGAUUGGUGCCUUCGGGAACUCUGAGACAGGUGCUGCAUGGCUGUCGUCAGCUCGUGUUGUGAAAUGUUGGGUUAAGUCCCGCAACGAGCGCAACCCUUAUCCUUGUUUGCCAGCGAGUAAUGUCGGGAACUCCAGGGAGACUGCCGGUGAUAAACCGGAGGAAGGUGGGGACGACGUCAAGUCAUCAUGGCCCUUACGAGUAGGGCUACACACGUGCUACAAUGGCGCAUACAGAGGGCGGCCAACUUGCGAAAGUGAGCGAAUCCCAAAAAGUGCGUCGUAGUCCGGAUUGGAGUCUGCAACUCGACUCCAUGAAGUCGGAAUCGCUAGUAAUCGUGGAUCAGAAUGCCACGGUGAAUACGUUCCCGGGCCUUGUACACACCGCCCGUCACACCAUGGGAGUGGGCUGCAAAAGAAGUAGGUAGUUUAACCUUCGGGGGGACGCUUACCACUUUGUGGUUCAUGACUGGGGUGAAGUCGUAACAAGGUAGCGCUAGGGGAACCUGGCGCUGGAUCACCUCCUUA
Molecule: ribosomal RNA, 1553 nt
Filed under: Vibrio alginolyticus
Lineage: Bacteria; Pseudomonadati; Pseudomonadota; Gammaproteobacteria; Vibrionales; Vibrionaceae
Also listed under: 1 other name
Description: bacterial SSU rRNA
Rfam family: Bacterial small subunit ribosomal RNA
Source: RNAcentral